UGGGGGGGGUUUAAAUUUCUCCGGGGGGUCCGAGAAUAACCCCCGGGGCUUUUAUUACUUUUUGUUGUGAGGUAAAGGGUUUCCCCCAGGGGGCCCCGCGGGUUACCCCGCUCUGGAAGAGGGACCCGGCCCCCCCUGGGGAAUUGGGACACAGGCCCCAGACUUCCUUACGGAAGCCAACCAGUGGGGAAUUUUGCCCCAAUUGGGGCCAAGCCUUGAUGCAAGCGACCCCCGCCUGAGGGGAUGACAGCCCUUCGGGGUUGUAAACCUUUUUUCAGCAGGGAAGAAGCGCCAAGUGACGGUACCUGCAGAAGAAGCGCCGGGCUAACUACGUGCCAGCAGCCGCGGUAAGACGUAGGGCGCGAGCGUUGUCCGGAUUUAUUGGGCGUAAAGAGCUCGUAGGCGGCUUGUCGCGUCGACUGUGAAAACCCGCGGCUCAACCGCGGGCCUGCAGCCGAUACGGGCAGGCUAGAGUUCGGUAGGGGAGACUGGAAUUCCUGGUGUAGCGGUGAAAUGCGCAGAUAUCAGGAGGAACACCGGUGGCGAAGGCGGGUCUCUGGGCCGAUACUGACGCUGAGGAGCGAAAGCGUGGGGAGCGAACAGGAUUAGAUACCCUGGUAGUCCACGCUGUAAACGUUGGGCGCUAGGUGUGGGGGGCCUCUCCGGUUCUCUGUGCCGCAGCUAACGCAUUAAGCGCCCCGCCUGGGGAGUACGGCCGCAAGGCUAAAACUCAAAGGAAUUGACGGGGGCCCGCACAAGCGGCGGAGCAUGCGGAUUAAUUCGAUGCAACGCGAAGAACCUUACCUGGGCUUGACAUGCACGUGAAACCCUGGUGAAAGCCAGGGCCCCCUUCGGGGCACGUGCACAGGUGCUGCAUGGCUGUCGUCAGCUCGUGUCGUGAGAUGUUGGGUUAAGUCCCGCAACGAGCGCAACCCUCGUUCGAUGUUGCCAGCGCGUUAUGGCGGGGACUCAUCGAAGACUGCCGGGGUCAACUCGGAGGAAGGUGGGGAUGACGUCAAGUCAUCAUGCCCCUUAUGUCCAGGGCUUCACGCAUGCUACAAUGGCCGGUACAAAGGGCUGCGAUACCGUGAGGUGGAGCGAAUCCCAAAAAGCCGGUCUCAGUUCGGAUCGGGGUCUGCAACUCGACCCCGUGAAGUCGGAGUCGCUAGUAAUCGCAGAUCAGCAACGCUGCGGUGAAUACGUUCCCGGGCCUUGUACACACCGCUCGUCACGUCACGAAAGUCGGCAACACCCGAAGCCGGUGGCCCAACCCCUUGUGGGAGGGAGCUGUCGAAGGUGGGGCUGGCGAUUGGGACGAAGUCGUAACAAGGUAGCCGUCGAAUAGCAUUCCCGCGCACGCCACGGCCACGGGGACCUGCCGACGUGGGGCCUCAAGUCGCUCCCCUAGUGAGUCGAUAUACGAAUGCAGCUGACCUUGCC
Molecule: ribosomal RNA, 1440 nt
Filed under: uncultured bacterium
Lineage: Bacteria
Description: partial 16S ribosomal RNA
Rfam family: Bacterial small subunit ribosomal RNA
Source: RNAcentral